RNAcentral lists this long non-coding RNA (286 nucleotides) under Mytilus galloprovincialis (Mediterranean mussel). The record is from RNAcentral. Lineage: Eukaryota; Metazoa; Mollusca; Bivalvia; Mytilida; Mytilidae.
AUCAAAUUUUGCAACUUUUACCGCUUUCUAAAUAGUUUAACCCCUAAGGAUCCAGGUAUAUCCUGAAUUGUACAUGUAUCACCUAUCAACAUGCAAAUUUUGAACCUAUCUUUAAAGUCUUUUAGCAAAAUACUAAUGUUCAGGAGACAAUUAUCGCUAAAAAAUAACCCAUUGUAUUGUAGAAAUCAUAAUUAGGUACAUGUAUACUAUGGCGCUCAUCAAUUCUCAAUAUUUAAUGCAAAUUCAUGGACAAGUAGAUUUUGGCUCAAAAUGAUCUACAUUUGUU